GACGAACGCUGGCGGCGUGCUUAACACAUGCAAGUCGAACGGGUCUGCCCUGUUUUUUGCGGGGUGGGUCCGUGGCGAACGGGUGAGUAACCCGUGAGUAACCUGCCCCUCACUUCUGGAUAACCGCUUGAAAGGGUGGCUAAUACGGGGUGUUCUGGCUGUGCCGCAUGGUGUGGCUGGGAAAGAUUCACUUUUGUGGUGUUUUGGUGGGGGAUGGGCUCGCGGCCUAUCAGCUUGUUGGUGGGGUGAUGGCCUGCCAAGGCUUUGACGGGUAGCCGGCCUGAGAGGGUGGGCGGUCACACUGGGACUGAGAUACGGCCCAGACUCCUGCGGGAGGCAGCAGUGGGGGGUAUUGCACAAUGGGCGGAAGCCUGAUGCAGCGACGUCGCGUGAGGGAUGGAGGCCUUCGGGUUGUGAACCUCUUUCGCCGGUGAAGAAGGUCCUGCUCUUUGUGGUGGGGUUGACGGUAGCCGGGUUAUGAAGCGCCGGCUAACUACGUG
This 500-nucleotide ribosomal RNA is filed under the name uncultured bacterium. RNAcentral's name for it is "partial 16S ribosomal RNA". It matches the Rfam family "Bacterial small subunit ribosomal RNA", at positions 28 to 507 of the family's 1533-position model. The record is from RNAcentral.